AAAGUGCUAUCAAGUUGGGGUAA
This 23-nucleotide microRNA is filed under the name Carassius gibelio (silver crucian carp). Its description in RNAcentral is "dre-miR-430b". The record is from RNAcentral. Lineage: Eukaryota; Metazoa; Chordata; Actinopteri; Cypriniformes; Cyprinidae.